This 73-nucleotide transfer RNA is filed under the name Bos taurus (domestic cattle). It matches the Rfam family "tRNA". From Rfam's summary of the family: Transfer RNA (tRNA) molecules are approximately 80 nucleotides in length. Their secondary structure includes four short double-helical elements and three loops (D, anti-codon, and T loops). The record is from Rfam by way of RNAcentral. Lineage: Eukaryota; Metazoa; Chordata; Mammalia; Artiodactyla; Bovidae.
UCCCUGGUGGUCUAGUGGUUAACGCUCUGCACUCCCAAUGCAGGGAGCCCAGGUUCAAUCCCUAGUCAGGGAA